Molecule: long non-coding RNA, 2712 nt
Organism: Alexandromys fortis (reed vole)
Lineage: Eukaryota; Metazoa; Chordata; Mammalia; Rodentia; Cricetidae
Exons: 5
Source: RefSeq, a predicted model, not a curated record
UGAAACAGUGCACAUUAUUUCCUUAGCAUUUGCUUUCAUUUUCUUUUAUACAAAUGCAUUUAAAUUGGAUUUCUAAAAUUUCUUAGACAUGGGCAAUAGAUUUAGAUCACUUGGUGGAGGUCAUGCCUGGCAUGCACAAGGCUUGGGUUUGAUCCCUAGUCCUGCAUACUCCAGGCACUAUAAAAAUAGUGAGUGAUACUUGGAAUAUCAGGACUCAGAAGGUAGAGGUAGGUCAAAGUCAUUCAUAGCUACUUAGUGAGUUUGCGACUAGCUUUGGCUAUAAGAGUUCCAAUCUCAAAAUAUGAAUGAAUAAAUAAUAAAUAGAUCUUAAAAAUAUAGAAUUUUGUUAUGGUUUUUACGGGACACUGACUUACAAAUCAGUAAUAUUUGUUGUUAUUGUUUGUGUCUCUUUCUCCACUAUAUUCUUACUUGAAUAUGUUGAAUGUUGCCCCAUCAUUUCUUGGUGUCUUCACAGAGCAGAUCUUCAUCAAACGUGUAUUGGUUGUCAGGCCCUGCCAGUAACUUGAAUACCCGCAUCUCUGGUCAGGAACGGGAACCCUCACACCGGGACAACUAAAAAGGGAUUUAACAGACUGUAGAUCUCCAGAGACAGAAUAAGCACACCUAGAAUGAGACUUAGGGUGUGACAUACAGAAUCCAUGGCCAAUCUUUCACCACCCAGGGGUCCUGGAGCUUCCACCUUUAGAGGCGGAGGCAGCAGGAACAAAAGUCCAAAGUCAACCUCAACUACAUAUGGAGUUGGAAGCCAGCCUGGGAUGUGUGAGACUCUACCUGAAAAAAAGAAAAGAAAGGAAAAAGUUAUUACAGCCCUCGACUGCAUCAGCACCGUGGGGAAGUAUAUGAAUUAAAAUACUUUGAAGAGAGGACUAACGGACUGGGUGAGGGGUAAACGGAGGAAGAACCAGCCCGGCUCAAGGCUUCACAGUGAACUGCUGAGUUCUCGGUGGAUAGUGGGGUCUGUGUCCUCAUCUAGAUCGUCGUCCUUAGCAGAAUCACCGGUGCUCCACACGGAAAAGUUCUUCUUCUCAAUCAGGAGAAGUAAUGUCAGGUUGAGAAAAGGAUGUGUGCAAGAUGAGACCCAACAUCAGCCUACCAACGGGGGAGAUUUGAUCUGGAGCAUUCAAAUAGGAAAUGGCUGCUCAAAGGAAGCUUCAAAUUUCUUUCGACUUGAAGAAGCUGAAUUGCGAAAGCUAUCUCUGUCCUGCUAAUCACCAGGUCCAGUGUGAAGCCAGCCAACUUUAGAGUUAGUUAAAAGAGGAGGCUAAUGACUCGGCUCUUUCCGGCUCUUUCCGGAGCUCAGUCGUGCAAGCCUGAGCUCUGAACUCCUCAGACGUCGAGCUGCACCCAGUCACUCGGUAGUUUCUCCAGUGUCCCCUGACCUGUGGGAUCCGUGUGUAAGGGGUGUGGCCUGGGGCUCUGUCCUGCAGGCUGACUGAAACCUUCACCAUCCAGCCCAAGGCUGAGGGGGAGCUGGGAGCAGACCAAUCCAACGUCAUUCUUGACGGUAGCAGUGGAGGGGCGACCUGGACUUCCUGGGAGAUCUUGAUCGGUUCAGCUUAAAAUGACACUGAUUAUACAGAACUCUUUUUUGAAGCUUGUUUUCUGCGUCAGCCCUGCUCUCCCUUCACUGAGUAGGGCAAGUACUUAUCUUAGAGCUAAACUUUUACCGCGCUUCCUAUUGAUUCAAUGUUGCUGAUCAAACGCCUAAUUUUUUUUUUUUUUUUUUUUUUUUUUUUUGGAUUCUGCUUUGUACUUAUUUUAUCUUGUCUUUCAGAGCCUCAGCUUUUACCAAACAAUCAUUAGUUACCCUGGGUCAGCAGAUGUGCUGCCUGACCCUAGAUUAUAACCAAGUGGCUUUCUCUCCGCGUUUCCUCAGAGCUUGUUCUGACGCCUCUCGCCCCCAGUAUUGUCCACGCUCCUUCCCGCGCACGCGCAGGCUCUCUGCUGCUUCCCUCCAUCAGAGCGGCGCAAUUCCGCCAGGCCCCUUGCUCCUAUUCAGUCAGGUACUUUGGAGGUAAUGAAGUCUUUUGGGAAAAAUAAACAAAGGAAACGCACCGGGUUGAUAUCAAUGGACUUGUUUAACUGUUUAAGGCCGCAUCUCCAAGUGUGUUGCGGUGUAUUUUGUAGAGGCGCGUUUAUAAUCCAUUGAGCUUUCCGAACAGCCCUCUUGCCUAUUAAGCCUGCAUUGAGAAGUGGGUUUAAUUUGCCAGAGUAGGUUUUUUUUUUUUUUUUUUUUGGUGAUAAUUACAGGACUUGCAGAUUAGCUUGAGUGAGUUGGCAAGGUUCUGUAGCUAAUAAAAAAAAAACUCACAGAAAAAAAAAUUGUUACAUUCAAUUGCUUCGUGGAUCUUCAUGAGAGAAACAUUAAACAAACCUGAUAGGCCAGUUUCCAGUCCACGCAGCACAGGAUUACGGUACUUAGGGAAAGAAACCUUUCAAGUGACACAUGGCCCGACAUCCCAAGAGUUAAAGGCAUAGUUCUCUUCCUCGGAGACUUGAAAAUUAAAUCACAAGAACAGGGUGAAGUUUCGCUGUUGCACUGACAAGACUUCAUUCAUGAACUCAGGUGACUCCCCUGCCCCAGCCUCCUGAGCAUCUGGAACUACAGGCGUAGGACAAAAAAGAGAAUUUUUGGAAGGCUAUAUUUUCACGAAACAGGAAAUGCUACACACGAGCAGCAGGUGCCGAUAC